Molecule: unclassified non-coding RNA, 1091 nt
Filed under: Hevea brasiliensis (rubber tree)
Lineage: Eukaryota; Viridiplantae; Streptophyta; Magnoliopsida; Malpighiales; Euphorbiaceae
Source: RNAcentral
GCCCAUGUCAAAUUUAUGUUCACCAGUUGAUUGAAAUUUUUUAAAUUUCACCUAUCCAAUUAAAGUUUAGUGACUUAAUUGUAAUAAAUUGAUCUUUUCGUGACCUCAAUAAAAUUUAAUGACCAUUAGUGCAAUUUUCCUUGUUUCAUUUAAAGUUUUACAUGUUGAAGUGUAUUGUAAUCAAGACAUUGUAAUUGUUGCAACCAAAUCAAAAUAAAAAUGCUUAUCAAAAUGAACAUGGUUGAGAGAAAAUCCAUACAUCUUUCAGCCUUCAAUAAUUCAAGCAAAACAUUGAUAACAUUAAGCAAUUGAAUCUCCAAACCUUCAAUGCCUACUCUACAAAUUUACAUUUAUUUUAUUUAUUAGCUAAACUAUCAUUUAGGAGAGUCCAUAUGAUGCAUCCUACAUCGGUUAGCAAGGGAGAUCUUAGGUGUUAUACAUAUGGGUUCGCAACCCUCUCCUUACGAGCUAGCAUUUGAGGUAGAGAUAUAAUUGUUGGGUCCGCAUCAUUUGGUAUCAGAGCUUCUUCUUGUAUGGUCGGUGGCCCAUAUAUAAAAGUUCCCUAACAUAUGAAUAGGUCAGGGUUCAAUAUAAUCACGGUUUCUUCACGAGGAUGUUCAAUGUAAAGGGGUUGAGAAUAAUGCAUACCACAUUAGUUAGCAAGGGAGAUCUUGGGUGUCAUAUUUAUGGGUUCGCAACCCUCCCCUUCCGAGCUAGCUUUUGAGGUGGAGAUAUGGUUGUUGGGUCCAUAUCAUUUAUUCUUGGUUUUCUAUCACUUGUUGAUAUUAGAUCAAGUUUAGUCAUUAGAAGAAAUCAUGAUUUUGCUUGGUUUUCCAUCACAAGUUGGUGUUGGAUUAAGUAAGUAUUUGGUGUUUGAAUCUAUUUUAGAGCAAUCAUGAGAAUACACUAAAUUGAUUGUAGAUUUCAAGACGAAGUCCUCUAAAGUUUGCAUCAUCAUAAGAAAACAUUACACGUGCAAAAAUAAAAAUGAGCGAGAGAGAACAAUGAACAAUAGCACAUUCAUAUCGAGACUCCAAGCUAGAACAAAGUUUAAGAAAGAAAAAUUACCAUUUCUUACAUCCAAUAGAACA